GACGAACGCUGGCGGCGUGCUUAACACAUGCAAGUCGAACGGAAAGGCCCUGCUUGCAGGGUACUCGAGUGGCGAACGGGUGAGUAACACGUGGGUGAUCUGCCCUGCACUUCGGGAUAAGCUUGGGAAACUGGGUCUAAUACCGGAUAGGAACCAUCUUUAGUGUGGUGGUUGGAAAGUUUUUUCGGUGUAGGAUGAGCUCGCGGCCUAUCAGCUUGUUGGUGGGGUAAUGGCCUACCAAGGCGGCGACGGGUAGCCGGCCUGAGAGGGUGUACGGCCACAUUGGGACUGAGAUACGGCCCAGACUCCUACGGGAGGCAGCAGUGGGGAAUAUUGCACAAUGGGCGCAAGCCUGAUGCAGCGACGCCGCGUGGGGGAUGAAGGCCUUCGGGUUGUAAACUCCUUUCGCUAGGGACGAAGCUUUUUUGUGACGGUACCUAGAGAAGAAGCACCGGCUAACUACGUG
This 466-nucleotide ribosomal RNA is filed under the name uncultured bacterium. RNAcentral describes it as "partial 16S ribosomal RNA". It matches the Rfam family "Bacterial small subunit ribosomal RNA", at positions 28 to 507 of the family's 1533-position model. The record is from RNAcentral.